GGCCGAAACACCCGAUGAAUCCAAGGUCCACUACUGACUAUGUGUCCCAAACUGAUGACCACUGUGCAGUAGCACAACUGAACCAGGACUGGAAACCUGCCCUAUCAUCUCAACUCAAAGGAGUUGCCCUCAGAUUCAGACCUCAGCAUCACCCAGUGACAACAGAACAAACAGUUUAUAUGUUCACUCUUUGUAGUAACUCCAAAAUUAAACGGUGCAAAGGCUAAAUUACUAUAUGAUGUACUGUCAGUGGAUGCUGCAGCUGUUUUAUUGAUAAAGUUAAAGACGAAAAGUUAAAGGGUUUAAUCAUCCACAUAACUGGUGUCACUAUAUAGGAGCAUAAACAGAACCU
Long non-coding RNA from Pundamilia nyererei, 352 nucleotides. RefSeq lists it as uncharacterized. The record is from RefSeq and is a predicted model, not a curated record. NCBI's taxonomy places the organism in Eukaryota, Metazoa, Chordata, Actinopteri, Cichliformes, Cichlidae. The transcript has 3 exons.